GGAGGGGGUGGUGUGAAGGCUUGCUGUUAGCUCACCCAUGCUACUGGCUGGAGAUGGCUUUGUAUUUUCGAUUUUAUUGAUUUUUUCCCCCCUCUAAUUUCUGUUAUUUUCUUUCUUUUUUCAUUUGAUCUCAUUUGCUUUCUUUGUCUAGUUUCCUUCUAGGUACCAACAUUUUUCUCUUGUCUGAAACUUUCUUCUCUGUACUCAUGAAACUUCCCAUUUCUUCUGUCUACCAAAGAUACUUGUACCUGCCAUUCAGGUUUCACAGGAUGUACAUAGGAAUUUAAGUAUAUGUCAGAGAUUACAGUCAGAAUAUACCAUUAAAUGGUGGUGACCAUUUAUCCAAUACUAUCUGAAGACGGCCCAAUAAAAGAGAGUCAUAGCCUAUAUGAACCUGGGUGAGGGGGUGUAUUUUGAAUAGCUGCUAUAUUUUUAAUAGUGACAGGGCUUGGGGGGGAAUUUUGAAUAGCUAUAUUUUUAAUAUUGAUAGGGCUUAUGGGUUAAUAGAUCCUACAGUGUCUUUUACAUGGUCUCAGAGAAGCCCUAGUUCAUUAAAAAGAAACCUAACUAGGCUCUCUUUGAAUUUCUAAAUCUUGCUAAGUGUAUUUUUCUUCCACAAAAUGCUCACAGACAGCUGACUUACUGAGUUUUACUAAGAAACAAAAUCACACACGGUAUAGCUCUACACAUAAGGAACAGAGAGGAUGUUGGGAGUGAGACACCAGGUUCGUGGUCUCCCUUGGGAUGCUUUGUUCAUGAACCUUUAGUGGUACUUCAAAAGGAUACAGCUUUCAAACAAUAAGUUAAGCUCUGUAAGAAUGGACCGGUGGUGAGGAUGUGCUAGGACCCAUUUUUUUUUUUUUUUUUUUAAAGAUUCAUCUAAUUUGGUGUAGUGGCAAGGAUCUUUAAAAAAUGGCAAUAUCCUGUAAAGGAGAUUUUGCCCCUGGAACAUUGUGUUGUGUCCUAUGGACUAAUGAGUUGGCCCGACGAGGGGUGGAAGGGAGAUGUGGAGGAAGGAAGGUUUGUCUGGACCGGUGAUGAGUUCCACAGGGUAUCUGAACCAGGAUAUUGUGAGAACUGUUUACUGUUGUUUUUAAUUUCCUACCACAUUGAUUUGAAGAUUUGCCUAUCAGUGUGGCCCUGGCUGAUAAGGAGGGCGUCACAAGUGGUAGAAGAUGCUGGCGUCAUUAUCUUCCAUCAGAUGUCUUUAGACAAGGGCAGAUUCACUUAGUGCAAGGUCCAGCAGAGCAGCAGUCAAAGCAGACAGAGAUGAGCUCUGGGUGCUGGUGAAGGUCUCUCUUCCCCGAGCUCCUUGGUUAAGGAAGAUGGAUGCCUUCAGUAAAGGGAGAGUUUGGUCCCUGGAGUAUUGUGUUGUGUCCUAUGGAAUAAUGAUUUAACACGAGAGGAGAGAUGGAGGAAGGCUUUUCUGGAUCAGUGAGGAGAACUUGGGGGAUCUGAACUAAGAUAUUGUAACUAAACCCAUGUAUGUCUCUGAGGUCUUUUACAACUCUCCCUUCUUUAGGGAACACUUUGUGGGGCUGUGUCCUAGGCUGAUAGACAUGUGGAUACAUUGGUUUCUUUAUUUCUAUACUAGCAGUGAGGUGGGUGGUGGCAGAGCCCAACAAGCUACAGUCAUUCCCAGCUAGGGUUUUACUUUUCUAAUGAAAUUAGCCUGUGGAUCUUUAAAAAGUAUGAAUAAAAAAAGAGGACAAAAUGGUCAAUUAUUACAAAGGAGUAUAAUGAGACAAAGGUUGUUGUUAAAUCUACUCAACAGUUGGGGCUUAAGAACCAUUUUGUUUAGGGGUACAUGGUCAUUAAGUGUUUGUCCUAUGUUGGUAACUGGUCUCCCAUAGUUGUUCCUAGUUCACUUCAACCCCACGAUCCUAAGCACACCUGUACCUGCCCUGGAAUCCCUCAGCCAUGUUUGUCCCACAGAGCAUCACUAUCAAACAGUUCACUGUGGACUCCUCGUAGCAGAAGUACAGUAGGGGACAGCAAGUGUCAGCUCCAUCAGGUGUGUGCAAUCUUGUGUAACCUACUUUGUAGCUUUCCAUCAGGCUUUAGGGACAGACAGGCACCCAUCAUGAGACAGGGCUUGACAAUCUCAGCCGGGCGUGGUGGCUCACGCCUUUAAUCCCAGCACUCCGGAGGCAGAGGCAGGCGAUUUCUGAGUUCGAGGCCAGCCUGGUCUACAAAGUGAGUUCCAGGACAGCCAGGGCUAUACAGAGAAACCCUGUCUCGAAAAACCAAAAACCAAAAAAUAAAAAAUAAAAAAAGAAGCCAGUCUCUAACCAGUGGCCCUCAGAUAUAAACAAUGCAGGCCAUUGGUUCUACAAGAAAAGAGCUGCUGAUGAAGUAAUCAUGACUUAUAAAUCCAUGAGCAGCUUCACCAACUCACGACAGUGUUUUUGAGGAAUAGGCAGCCAUACCUGGGUGUCUGAUGCCUGUUGGUGGCCCUGUCUGAGUCAACACUUUUGGCAACGCCUGGGUAAAGUCUGAGGUCAUUUGCUCAGUGAGAGACUGACACUACUUUUUUAUAGAAAUUAUCUUUGUGUAGAAGUCUGAAAAACUUAGCCAACUUGCCCCUGGGCUUUUUGGCUCAGUGGUAUGUAAUCUUUUAUUUCAAGAGUAUUAGUAUAUAAAUAGGAAAUAGGUACAUAAAAUAAUGAAGACACAUUGAUUUGUGCAAUAGGUAGUGCAAGAAGCCAAAGAUAACUCAUGCUAUUGCCUACUAAAAAGCAAGUGUGCUUGUUAAUUCCAAGUAACAUAGGAUAGAGUCUGCAACCCUCUUUCAUAUUGAGUAUAUUAGUAGCUGUACUUAAUAGAGUUGCUUGGGUGUUUGUUGGUCAUUAAGAAAAGCAAAGUGCACAAGCUAGCCAUGUGUUAACUAUCCACCUGCUUGACAGAUGGUUGUAAAUGCUGUAAGACUUACUCUUGGACAUUCACCACAUUGAAAAUCAGAACUUUGAUAUUAACUCUAAACUUUAUUAUUACAUAGUUCUGCUUGACCCACUAAAUUCUAAAUCUUCUCUUCCCUCUUGUGCUGAAUGUAGGACCCCUGAUUUAAUUAUUUACUGUGGAACCAUUGUCCUGAGUCAGGAGGAUAGAUGAGGAAAGGUAAGGCUCUUAGUUCAUGGCCUCUGUCUGGAGUCUUGUUUAUGGCUGCUAGCUGAUCAUUUUCAAAAUCAGUAAUGGUCACCUACCUAAAACAGUUAACUUACAAAAUCAUGUUUAAUCCAAGUUGCCCUAAUAGACAUGAUUUUAAAAGAAAAAAGCAGUUAUAUAACUUGUCCCCAGAACUUUAGUGUUACCUUUUGCAUUGUGGUUGAGCUCUGCUCCCCAACAGUAGUUCUUUGGGAAGGCCCCCAUAUAAAUGCUAGCUCACGAGUCUAUGAGGAUUUCUGAGGUGGAAGAUGGGAUGGGAGCUUCAUUAUGUUUGAUGGAGCCAAAUUUGACAUCUGGAUGAAUUAAACAAAAGUGAACCACACAAAAAUUAGAUGUGGAUUGGAUCCAAAACAGAGACACUAGUGUGCCUUGGAGCAUGUGCCCUAAUGGAAGCAAUGUGGUCUGGAUAUCCCGAGAAGAGAGCCCCAACCCAAAGAUCUUGUUUUAGGGACUGUGUAUUGUUAACUGUGAAUCAAUCAGUCAAUGAAUGACGCAAACACCCAGCAUAGGCCAAUGAUGAGGAGCAUGGGGUUUCUGACCGAGGACAGUGAUUAAACCCUUAUGAAAUCUGAGGACUAUUGCAAACUGGUGUCUGCAUCCUAUAGAGAGGAGUCCCCAAAGCCCGAUCUUUGUGGAUUCGUGGCGUAACCCACAUUCCUGUAAUAAAAUUAGUCAUAAAUAAAGAAUAUGUUAAUGAAUAAAAGAUAAAAAAGAUAAAAUUGGCAAAGCUGGUUAGUUAGCCUUGAAACAAACAUAAAACAAAGCAACAAAACAAAAUAAAACAAAACAAGCAAACCCCUAAAAAUAGGGCAGGUAGAAUGGUUCACAAGAGCCUUGGAAAGGCCCUGUGAGCAAGCCUGGUGAUCCAGAUUCCACCUCUGAAAUCUCAUAGAGAAGAGCAGAGUCGCCAUACUGUCCUCUUACCUGUACAGACAGACAGACAGACAGACAGACAGACAGACACACACACACUACACAAUACACAACACACACACACACACACACACAUAUACAAACAUACACACACACAGACUCACAGACACACAUAGACACUCACAUACACACACACAGACACAGACUCAUACACACAUAGACGCACAUACAUACACACACAUACACGCAUACACACACAAACACAGACUCACACACACACACACACACACGCGCAUACACACACGCAUGCAUGCAGGAUGUAAAUGAACGAUUUAAAAUAAGACAAAAAGGAAGAACCUGAUGUUACACAUGCACUUUUUAAAGCAUUUAAUGCAGUGUGGGUUGGUAUUAAUUUUGAGAUUCUUAGUCAAGAUGCUUAGCUGUGUUAGAAGUUAUCUGAUGAUUGAUGAGGAGGCAAGUUGAGGCAAGUUGCCCAGUGCCAAGGAAUAGGAGAUACAUUUCUGUAACUAGUGGUUGAAUGCAGGACACUUACACACAAAGCAACAGCAAGACUUCCACACACCCCACCAGGUGAUUGAUAAAAGUUUGCCACACUUGAGCACUGGUAUAGCACACCAAACAGCCCCACUUAGGGGGCUGAUCCGGAACGGGGCACUCAAAUCUACCAAAGUCUAUGAAGGGACGCAUUCUUAAAUGUGUAUCUCAACCAGUUGUUUGUUUGUUUGUUUAUAAAUUGAGGAAUUCAGCAUUGGAACCAUGCACUCCUGACAUGCACAAGGCAGAGACUUUCCCGACCUUUCCAGUCAUGCGUUUAGGAAUUUACCUUAUGAGUGUUCCAGUCUUGGUUUGGUAGCUGUAAACUUUCAAAUUCUGCUAGAAAAAUUAUCCUAUGAGAAAUUAAUCUUGUCAGUUAAUGUGCAAGUUAGACAGGGGCUGGGCGGUCAUCUUCUGAGGACUGUCUGCCACAGUUGUCAUGCUCACAUGUGAACAUACAUCCACAUGCAUGUGCAAGUGCACAUAUAAACACACACCCCGGAAAA
Molecule: long non-coding RNA, 5099 nt
Filed under: Mus musculus (house mouse)
Lineage: Eukaryota; Metazoa; Chordata; Mammalia; Rodentia; Muridae
Description: RNA imprinted and accumulated in nucleus
Source: RNAcentral